UAAGAGGUCCCGCCUGCCCUGUGACAACAUGUUUAACGGCCGCGGUAUCCUAACCGUGCGAAGGUAGCGCAAUCACUUGUCUUUUAAAUAAGGACCUGUAUGAAUGGCACAACGAGGGCUUAACUGUCUCCUUUUUCCAGUCAAUGAAAUUGAUCUUCCCGUGCAGAAGCGGGAAUAACAACAUAAGACGAGAAGACCCUGUGGAGCUUUAGAUAAUGAGCUGACCAAACUAAAGACCCCCAAAACAGAGCCAAAAUUUUGACCACAGCUCUACAUCUUCGGUUGGGGCGACCGCGGAGGAACAAAAAUCCCCCACGCAGACUAGGUGAACAAUUAUAUCACCCAAAACCAAGAACUACAAUUCAAAGAAACAGAAUCUCUGACUUUAAAAUGACCCGGCUCAUUAAGCCGAUCAACGAACCAAGUUACCCCAGGGAUAACAGCGCAAUCCUCUUCUAGAGUCCAUAUCGACAAGAGGGCUUACGACCUCGAUGUUGGAUCAGGACAUCCUAAUGGUGCAGCCGCUAUUAAGGGUUCGUUUGUUCAACGAUUAAAGUCC
Molecule: ribosomal RNA, 559 nt
Filed under: Ambassis interrupta (long-spined glass perchlet)
Lineage: Eukaryota; Metazoa; Chordata; Actinopteri; Ambassidae
Description: partial large subunit ribosomal RNA
Rfam family: Bacterial large subunit ribosomal RNA
Source: RNAcentral